RNAcentral lists this ribosomal RNA (119 nucleotides) under Helianthus annuus (common sunflower). The record is from RNAcentral. Lineage: Eukaryota; Viridiplantae; Streptophyta; Magnoliopsida; Asterales; Asteraceae.
GGUUGCGAUCAUACCAGCACUAAUGCACCGGAUCCCAUCAGAACUCUACAGUUAAGCGUGCUUGGGCGAGAGUAGUACUAGGAUGGGUGACCCCCUGGGAAGUCCUCGUGUUGCAACCC